CCCCUAGUAACUGCGAGUGAAGCGGGAAAAGCUCAAAUUUGAAAUCUGGCAGUCUUUUUUUCCUUCUUUGGCUGUCCGAGUUGUAAUCUAGAGAAGUGCUUACCUGCGCUGGACCAUGUAUAAGUCUCCUGGAACGGAGUGUCACAGAGGGUGAGAAUCCCGUCUUUGACAUGGACUGCCAGUGUGUUGUGGUGCGCUCUCAAAGAGUCGAGUUGUUUGGGAAUGCAGCUCUAAAUGGGUGGUAAACUCCAUCUAAAGCUAAAUAUUGGCGAGAGACCGAUAGCGAACAAGUACCGUGAGGGAAAGAUGAAAAGGACUUUGGAAAGAGAGUUAAACAGUAUGUGAAAUUGUUGAAAGGGAAACGCUUGAAGUCAGUUAUGCUGGCUAGGGAUCAACCUAGCUACUUUUUGCUGGGUGAACUUCCUAGUCUGUCAGGCCAACAUCAGUUCUGACUGCUGGAAAAGAGCAGAGGGAAUGUGGCACCUUCGGGUGUGUUAUAGCCUUUUGUCAUAUGUGGCAGUUGGGACUGAGGGAUGCAGCAUGCCGUGAAGGCAAGGUUUCGACCAUGUUCAUGCUUAGGAUGUUGGCUUUUAAUGGCUUCAAUCGACCCGUCUUGAAACACGGACCAAGGAGUCUAACAUGCCUGCGAGUG
This 652-nucleotide ribosomal RNA is filed under the name Amanita sp. RNAcentral describes it as "partial large subunit ribosomal RNA". It matches the Rfam family "Eukaryotic large subunit ribosomal RNA", at positions 77 to 692 of the family's 3401-position model. The record is from RNAcentral. Lineage: Eukaryota; Fungi; Basidiomycota; Agaricomycetes; Agaricales; Amanitaceae.